GAUGAACGCUGGCGGCGUGCCUAACACAUGCAAGUCGAACGGUGCUGCAGCAGAGGAAGCUUCGGCAGAAUCAGCGGCAGCAUAGUGGCGGACGGGUGAGUAACGCGUGGGGAACCUGCCUCAGACCGGGGGAUAGCAGCUGGAAACGGCUGGUAAUACCGCAUAAGCGCACAGCUCCGCAUGGAGCGGUGUGAAAAACUCCGGUGGUCUGAGAUGGACCCGCGUCUGAUUAGCCAGUUGGCGGGGUAACGGCCCACCAAAGCGACGAUCAGUAGCCGGCCUGAGAGGGCGGACGGCCACAUUGGGACUGAGACACGGCCCAGACUCC
RNAcentral lists this ribosomal RNA (328 nucleotides) under uncultured Butyrivibrio sp. RNAcentral's name for it is "bacterial SSU rRNA". It matches the Rfam family "Bacterial small subunit ribosomal RNA", at positions 28 to 339 of the family's 1533-position model. The record is from RNAcentral. Lineage: Bacteria; Bacillati; Bacillota; Clostridia; Lachnospirales; Lachnospiraceae.